Molecule: ribosomal RNA, 253 nt
Filed under: uncultured bacterium
Lineage: Bacteria
Description: partial 16S ribosomal RNA
Rfam family: Bacterial small subunit ribosomal RNA
Source: RNAcentral
UACGAAGGGUGCAAGCGUUGUUCGGAUUUAUUGGGCGUAAAGCGCGCGCAGGCGGAUGUGUGUGUCAGAUGUGAAAUCUCGGGGCUCAACCCCGAAACUGCGUCUGAAACUGCAGAUCUAGAAUAUCGGAGGGGGCAGGGGAAUUUCACGUGUAGGGGUAAAAUCCGUAGAGAUGUGAAGGAACACCAGAGGCGAAGGCGCCUGCCUGGACGAUUAUUGACGCUGAGGCGCGAAAGCGUGGGGAGCAAACAGG